This 72-nucleotide transfer RNA is filed under the name bacterium. RNAcentral describes it as "tRNA-Thr". It matches the Rfam family "tRNA". From Rfam's summary of the family: Transfer RNA (tRNA) molecules are approximately 80 nucleotides in length. Their secondary structure includes four short double-helical elements and three loops (D, anti-codon, and T loops). Further hydrogen bonds mediate the characteristic L-shaped molecular structure. tRNAs have two regions of fundamental functional importance: the anti-codon, which is responsible for specific mRNA codon recognition, and the 3' end, to which the tRNAs corresponding amino acid is attached (by aminoacyl-tRNA synthetases). tRNAs cope with the degeneracy of the genetic code in two manners: having more than one tRNA (with a specific anti-codon) for a particular amino acid; and 'wobble' base-pairing, i.e. permitting non-standard base-pairing at the 3rd anti-codon position. The record is from RNAcentral.
GCUGGUGUAGCACAGUGGUAGUGCACUUCAUUGGUAAUGAAGAGGUCGGCAGUCCGAUUCUGCUCACCAGCU